AGAGUUUUAUCUCCUGUCACAGAGUGCGCUCGCGCCUCAUCUUACACACACACGUCGAGCGGAACACAACCUAUCCUUCCAUUGGGUGCCGAGCGGCGGACGGGUGAGUAAUGCAUGGGAAUAUGCCCUAAGGUGGGGGACCACAAGUGGAAAGAAAUCAUAAUACCGCAUAAUCUAUACGGAGCAAAGCGGGGGAUCGUAAGACCUAUCGCUUUUGGAUGAGCCCAAGUGAGAUUAGCUAGUUGGUGAGGUAAUGGCUUACCAAGGCGACGAUCUGUAGCUGUCUGAGAGGAUGAUCAGCCACCCGGGAAAAC
RNAcentral lists this ribosomal RNA (314 nucleotides) under uncultured Colwellia sp. Its description in RNAcentral is "bacterial SSU rRNA". It matches the Rfam family "Bacterial small subunit ribosomal RNA", at positions 1 to 321 of the family's 1533-position model. Lineage: Bacteria; Pseudomonadati; Pseudomonadota; Gammaproteobacteria; Alteromonadales; Colwelliaceae. The record is from RNAcentral.